Molecule: ribosomal RNA, 465 nt
Filed under: Vreelandella stevensii
Lineage: Bacteria; Pseudomonadati; Pseudomonadota; Gammaproteobacteria; Oceanospirillales; Halomonadaceae
Description: partial 16S ribosomal RNA
Rfam family: Bacterial small subunit ribosomal RNA
Source: RNAcentral
CCUACGGGUGGCUGCAGUGGGGAAUAUUGGACAAUGGGCGAAAGCCUGAUCCAGCAAUGCCGCGUGUGUGAAGAAGGCCUUCGGGUUGUAAAGCACUUUCAGUGGGGAAGAAAGCCUUGGGGCUAAUACCCUCGAGGAAGGACAUCACCCACAGAAGAAGCACCGGCUAACUCCGUGCCAGCAGCCGCGGUAAUACGGAGGGUGCGAGCGUUAAUCGGAAUUACUGGGCGUAAAGCGCGCGUAGGCGGUCUGAUAAGCCGGUUGUGAAAGCCCCGGGCUCAACCUGGGAACGGCAUCCGGAACUGUCAGGCUAGAGUGCAGAAGGGGAAGGUAGAAUUCCCGGUGUAGCGGUGAAAUGCGUAGAGAUCGGGAGGAAUACCAGUGGCGAAGGCGGCCUUCUGGACUGACACUGACGCUGAGGUGCGAAAGCGUGGGUAGCAAACAGGAUUAGAUACCCGGGUAGUC